Molecule: ribosomal RNA, 436 nt
Filed under: Oribacterium sp. oral taxon 372
Lineage: Bacteria; Bacillati; Bacillota; Clostridia; Lachnospirales; Lachnospiraceae
Description: bacterial SSU rRNA
Rfam family: Bacterial small subunit ribosomal RNA
Source: RNAcentral
GAUGAACGCUGGCGGCGUGCCUAACACAUGCAAGUCGAACGGAGUCCAGCCUUUAAGACCUUCGGGUCAAAGAGGGGAAGACUGAGUGGCGGACGGGUGAGUAACACGUGGGCAACCUGGCUCAUAGAGGGGGAUAACAGAGAGAAAUUUCUGCUAAUACCGCAUAAGCACACACUGCCGCAUGGCAGAGUGUGAAAAGAGAAUCGCUAUGAGAUGGACCCGCGUCUGAUUAGCCAGUUGGCAGGGUAAGAGCCUACCAAAGCGACGAUCAGUAGCCGGUCUGAGAGGAUGAACGGCCACAUUGGGACUGAGACACGGCCCAAACUCCUACGGGAGGCAGCAGUGGGGGAUAUUGCACAAUGGGGGGAACCCUGAUGCAGCGACGCCGCGUGAGUGAAGAAGUAUUUCGGUAUGUAAAGCUCUAUCAGCAGGGAAG